This 255-nucleotide ribosomal RNA is filed under the name Escherichia coli. RNAcentral describes it as "partial 23S ribosomal RNA". It matches the Rfam family "Bacterial large subunit ribosomal RNA", at positions 1443 to 1701 of the family's 2925-position model. Lineage: Bacteria; Pseudomonadati; Pseudomonadota; Gammaproteobacteria; Enterobacterales; Enterobacteriaceae. RNAcentral also lists the same sequence under 2 other names. The record is from RNAcentral.
CUUGGUGUUACUGCGAAGGGGGGACGGAGAAGGCUAUGUUGGCCGGGCGACGGUUGUCCCGGUUUAAGCGUGUAGGCUGGUUUUCCAGGCAAAUCCGGAAAAUCAAGGCUGAGGCGUGAUGACGAGGUACUACGGUGCUGAAGCAACAAAUGCCCUGCUUCCAGGAAAAGCCUCUAAGCAUCAGGUAACAUCAAAUCGUACCCCAAACCGACACAGGUGGUCAGGUAGAGAAUACCAAGGCGCUUGAGAGAACUC